UACGUAGGGUGCGAGCGUUGUCCGGAAUUAUUGGGCGUAAAGCGUGCGCAGGCGGUUAUGUAAGUCAGGUGUGAAAUGCCCGGGCUUAACCUGGGAACUGCAUUUGUGACUGCAUGGCUAGAGUUUGGCAGAGGGGGGUAGAAUUCCACGUGUAGCAGUGAAAUGCGUAGAUAUGUGGAGGAACACCGAUGGCGAAGGCAGCCCCCUGGGUCAAGACUGACGCUCAUGCACGAAAGCGUGGGGAGCAAACAGG
This 253-nucleotide ribosomal RNA is filed under the name uncultured bacterium. RNAcentral describes it as "partial 16S ribosomal RNA". It matches the Rfam family "Bacterial small subunit ribosomal RNA", at positions 524 to 776 of the family's 1533-position model. The record is from RNAcentral.